This is a non-coding RNA of Proteus penneri ATCC 35198, 376 nucleotides long. Lineage: Bacteria; Pseudomonadati; Pseudomonadota; Gammaproteobacteria; Enterobacterales; Morganellaceae. The record is from Rfam.
UGAGUUGACUAGACAACCGCUGCUUUAUCGUUGUCCCUUCGGGGGAGACGGAUAGAGGGGAGGAAAGUCCGGGCUCCACAGGGCAGGGUGCCAGAUAACGUCUGGGAGGCGCGAGCCUACGACAAGUGCAGCAGAGAGUAAACCGCCGAUGGCCUGUUUACAGGAUCAGGUAAGGGUGAAAGGGUGCGGUAAGAGCGCACCGCGCAACUGGUAACAGUUUGUGGCAUGGUAAACUCCACCCGGAGCAAGACCAAAUAGGGGUUCUUAUGGUGCGGCCCGCAUUGAACCUGGGUAGGUUGCUUGAGCCAGCGCGCAAGUUCUGGCCUAGAUGAAUGGUUGUCCACGACAGAACCCGGCUUAACGGUCAACUCACCUC